AUUGAACGCUGGCGGCAGGCAUAACACAUGCAAGUCGAGCGAGCGGCGGACGGGUGAGUAAUGUAUGGGGACUGCCCGAUAGAGGGGGCUAACUACUGGAAACGGUGGCUAAUACCGCAUACUGUCGGAUAACCCAUAUGGGAUUAGCUAGGAGGUGUGGGAAAGGCUCAACUAGGCGAUGAUCUCUAGCUGGUCUGAGAGGAUGAUCAGCCACACUGGGACUGAGAAACGGCCCAGACUCCUACGGAGGCAGCAAUGGGGAAUAUUGUACAAUGGUCGCAAGCCUGAUGCAGCCAUGCCGCGUGUAUGAAGAAGGCCUUAGGGUUGUAAAGUACUUUCAUCGGGGAGGCGUUACCCGCAGAAGAAGCACCGGCUAACUCCGUGCCAGCAGCCGCGGUAAUAC
Molecule: ribosomal RNA, 403 nt
Filed under: uncultured bacterium
Lineage: Bacteria
Description: partial 16S ribosomal RNA
Rfam family: Bacterial small subunit ribosomal RNA
Source: RNAcentral